GUCUUUUGGUUCCAGAUCGUGGCCCCCCUGCCUCGUUCGACGCAGCAGGAU
RNAcentral lists this non-coding RNA (51 nucleotides) under Alexandrium minutum. Lineage: Eukaryota; Dinophyceae; Gonyaulacales; Pyrocystaceae. The record is from RNAcentral.